CUCGGGACCGGGAUAGCUGCGGGAAACUGCAGGUAAUACCGGAUGAUGUUCCCGAACCAAAGGUGUGAGUCCGCCAGAGGAUGGGUCUAUAUCCUAUUAGCUAGUUGGUGAGGUAAUGGCUCACCAAGGCCAAGAUGGGUAGCGGGUGUGAGAGCACGACCCGCGUCAUUGGGGCUGAGACACUGCCCAGACACCUACGGGUGGCUGCAGUCGAGAAUCUUCGGCAAUGGGCGCAAGCCUGACCGAGCGACGCCGCGUGUGGGAUGAAGGCCUUCGGGUUGUAAACCACUGUCAGUGGGGAGGAAGGCUCCGUGAAGAACGGAGUUUGACCUAUCCGCAGAGGAAGCAUGGGCUAAGUUCGUGCCAGCAGCCGCGGUAAGACGAACCAUGCAAACGUUAUUCGGAAUCACUGGGCUUAAAGGGUGCGUAGGCGGUGCGGAAAGUUGGGUGUGAAAUCCCUCAGCUUAACUGAGGAACUGCGCUCAAAACUACCGCGCUAGAGGGAGAUAGAGGUAAGCGGAACUUAGGGUGGAGCGGUGAAAUGCGUUGAUAUCCUAAGGAACACCGGUGGCGAAAGCGGCUUACUGGAUCUUUUCUGACGCUGAGGCACGAAAGCUAGGGGAGCAAACGGGAUUAGAUACCCCGGUAGUCCUAGCCGUAAACGAUGAGUACUGGAUUGGAGGGUCCUCCAUAGCCCUCCAGUCGAAGAGAAAUUGUUAAGUACUCC
This 727-nucleotide ribosomal RNA is filed under the name uncultured Planctomycetota bacterium. RNAcentral's name for it is "bacterial SSU rRNA". It matches the Rfam family "Bacterial small subunit ribosomal RNA", at positions 131 to 870 of the family's 1533-position model. The record is from RNAcentral. Lineage: Bacteria; Pseudomonadati; Planctomycetota.